RNAcentral lists this ribosomal RNA (429 nucleotides) under Triticum aestivum (bread wheat). RNAcentral describes it as "partial small subunit ribosomal RNA". The record is from RNAcentral. Lineage: Eukaryota; Viridiplantae; Streptophyta; Magnoliopsida; Poales; Poaceae.
AUGCCGUCGGGAGAGGAGCUCAUUGAGGAUCCCCGCUUCUCCACGGAUUCACGACGGAGCGAGGUGCUCGAGGAGAAACUUCUUCUCGGGAUGCCAUGGAAAUCGGCAAGUGACUCCAUUUGCCCAUCAGAGAACCAGUGGGUUGAGGCCCCUCUUUUAUGCACGACUCCUAUUAAGUUCCAAUAUGCAAACUACACGACAGCUGACUAUGCAAAGACCGGAAAAGGGUCCUUGAGGCUUCAGAUAAUUAAUCAGACGAGUGAUAUCAUUCGCACUAUUUUCUGGAGGCCUCUCAAAUUGACAUGGACAAGUGGAUAUAGUACCAAGGAGGCUGCACCGUUUGUUGAAUGGGGCAUACAAGGGCAAAUUCAAAUCCUUUCUCCUGCAAGGCACCCUCAUGUUCAGUCACGACACUAUGUGUGGUGCUAG